RNAcentral lists this ribosomal RNA (35 nucleotides) under Enterocytozoon bieneusi. RNAcentral's name for it is "partial large subunit ribosomal RNA". The record is from RNAcentral. Lineage: Eukaryota; Fungi; Microsporidia; Enterocytozoonidae.
CAGUAGGGUGCCAUCAAGAGGUGUAUUUGAAAUCC